GUGCACGCGCUUCCGUGCGGUGUGGAGAGAAAUUUCUCUUCGAGGAGGGGAGGCGCGCGCUCUCGUUCAUUCUGGGGGAGGAGCGUUGUUCGCUCCCCCUUCUCUGCGUGGCCUCAAUUCAGCCUAAUUCGUUUAUUAACCGCCAUCAAGUGGGGUAGAGGAAAGCUUUGGGUCCAUGAGAAGAUGUUUUUCUCUCCCCCCCAUUACCUACCCACAGCAAAGUAUCUGCUCAUGGACCCAGAGCGUGCCUCUGCCUCACUGCUGGGGGGGUGUCGUUAUAUUCGUUGCCCUGGAAGGGAACGUUCCCCGUUUUGCCUCAAGAAAGUGAACGCACGUUGCUCGUUUGUCAGUGGGUGCGCAGCAACUUCCUCUGGUCCUUACGUAGGAAAGGCUCUUGCCCAGCGGGCUUGCUUGUUCCUCUUUGUGAGGUCCAGACAAGGACGAUCCUACUGUAUGUUUGUUCGAGCGGAUACCCCUUUCAGGUUGAAAACUAUGCUUAGAACCUUCCCCAACUCCUACGGAACAGAAACUGGCUCACUCAGGAUUGCACUGGCCACAGCAAUUAAGCAGAAAGCCACCACUUCUAAAGAAGGAGGCAAAGGACGUGUGUCUCCUUGGAGGGACUGUAGUAAAGCACUUCUGAGUACUUUCUUCCAAGAAAACCGUAAGUCAGAAUUGACAGCAUGUACAAUACAUGGAUGUGGUGGCGCUGGGGGCUAAACCGCAGAAGCCUCUGUGCUGCAAGGUCAGAAGACCAGCAGUCGUAAGAUCGAAUCCAUGUGACGGAGUGAGCUCCCGUCGCUUUGUCCCAGCUCCUGCCAACCUAGCAGUUUGAAAGCAUGUAAAAAUGCGAGUAGAUAAAUAGGUACUACCACGAUGAGAAGGUAAAAGUGUAAAAUACUGUACAGUUUGAUUUGCACAGAUUGUUCCAGAACAUUCUCUGAAGUACAACCUAUGUGAGACAGAGAAAUCAACUAGGAUGGUUAUUUCAUCAAUCAAUUUCUUAAAGAAUCUACAACAAAAUGUAACAGAAACCACUUGUACUUUGUUCUUUUCAUGAGAAGGUAAAACAGCGUUCCUAGUCACGCUAGCCACGUGACAAUGGAAAGUGUCUUCGGACAAGUGCUGGCUCUACGGCUUGAAAAACGGGACGAGCACCGCCCCCUAGAGUUGGACACGAUUGGAGUAAAAAUGUCAAGGGGUUGUGUCUUUUUAAAACAGUACAAUAGCUCUGAAAAGACUCAGGCAUUGAUUUAUACCAGAGCUCUGAAAUGAACGCUGACAUAGCUGGGGAGUCUAUGACAUAUGAGUUUGUGUCCACGCGCACACGCUAAGUGUGCUAGUAGGAAAAUGGUGUGUGUGUUUACAGAAGAGGGAAGAAGGUGGAUUUGGCCAUUGCCAUAUGUGAUUCUUAGGGGCCGAAAGGUUGCUCACACUUCCCUACUAAUGCCCGCAAAAACCAGUCCUGGAGAGCUGGAAAACCCUCCCAAACUGUUUUGUUUGUUUGUUUGUUUGUUUGUGUCCACAGGACUAAGGAAGGGAGCAGACUGGGAGCAUGUUCUGUUGUAAUCACCAGCACAACACUGGGUGUAGCACUGAGAAUCUGGAAGGCUGCUGGUUGCUUACCCUUAGUUUAGUAUAAUUUAUUGUGGACCAGACACGAUAGUCAGUUGCAUAUACAAGUGAAGCUGAUGUUUGCUUGCAAGCACUUCUCCACUAAUGGGAGCCAUGAAACAGGAUCUUAAGAGAAGCUCAAUAAACAAAUGAUUUCUCUCUUGGAGAUGUUUUUU
RNAcentral lists this long non-coding RNA (1790 nucleotides) under Pogona vitticeps (central bearded dragon). Its description in RNAcentral is "lncRNA (ENSPVIG00000000972.1)". Lineage: Eukaryota; Metazoa; Chordata; Lepidosauria; Squamata; Agamidae. The record is from RNAcentral.